Molecule: long non-coding RNA, 1131 nt
Organism: Lemur catta (Ring-tailed lemur)
Lineage: Eukaryota; Metazoa; Chordata; Mammalia; Primates; Lemuridae
Exons: 3
Source: RefSeq, a predicted model, not a curated record
CGCAGGCUCCCGGCGCCCGGGGCGGCUGCGAGGCCCUAAGCGUGGGGCGCUGCGGCCGCAGGCCCGUCCCGGGUGAAAUCCCCUGACUCCCAUGGAGGGACCCAGGGCCGGCCCCAGGAGCCCAUCCCCGGGCGCUGCUCGGGCUUAGAAAGGGCGUCAGGCUCGGGCGGGAACCACCUGCUCUCUGCCCACCGCUCGGGCGCUGUUGGCAGCAAGAUCGUCCGUGCAGGUUCCUCCCCGCGAAGCGCACUAGGAGCGCCCGGCACACUUUGGUGCCCUUCCUGCCAGGGCAAGCGAGGCUGAGCUGUUUGUCCACAGUGACAGGGUCACCGAGUGCCAGAUUCGGAAAGCGUCGCCCAAGUCUGCUCUAGGUCUGUCGUGCCCCGCAGACUGUUCCGCUGCGGCCUGUCUGAAGGCAACGUCAGUGGGACUGGCCAGGGACAGCUCGCAAACCCGGGUGUCCCGCACGGUUCCGAAGGCGCACCGCCCGGGGCCAGGCUUGGGGCAGGGUCACGCUCAGGCUCUCGGGAGAUGGCAGGUGCCUUCUUGGCCAGACCAUGGCACCUGAGGACUGGACCUCACUUCCUGCAUGCGGGUCUUUCUGUGGUCUGCACACGGGACAAGCCCGCAGGCUCCCAGAGCAAGUAUUCCAAGGAAGAGAAAGAAAUUGAGAGCACAGGACAGAAACCACGGUCUUCCAGCCUCUCGGCAGGCGUGGCCCCCAUCACCCUUGCAGGCUCCCGACCACGCUCACGCUCCAAGACAGGGCCUUGUUAGCUUGGUUCCAGGCAGGAACUCGAAAAAUAUAUAUGGGACGGAAUGCGGUUAAUAGAAAACUGAGGUUUAUAAAACACUAGCGCAGGAAUCUGGAGAGUCCCCGAGAUUAUAAACCUAGCAGACAGCUGUAGUCAGCACUCCCCCCCCAUAAGGAGGGAACUGCCCUCCUCCCUUAUCUCUGCAAGGUGAGACUGAGACAGGGGUCUCAGAGACAAUAAAAAAAAAUACAGUGGCUGUUCUGUCCCAGAUACUCGCUCCCCCGUGAAAACCCUCCGUAAAACCCAAGAUUUUCCCCUCCCUCAGGGUAGACACUCUUUGGCCUCCACCCGUCUGCACCCAGAUACUCAAAAUAAA